RNAcentral lists this ribosomal RNA (256 nucleotides) under uncultured bacterium. RNAcentral's name for it is "partial 16S ribosomal RNA". It matches the Rfam family "Bacterial small subunit ribosomal RNA", at positions 524 to 776 of the family's 1533-position model. The record is from RNAcentral.
UACGUAGGGUGCAAGCGUUAAUCGGAAUUACUGGGCGUAAAGCGUGCGCAGGCGGUUAUGUAAGACAGGUGUGAAAUCCCCGGGCUUAACCUGGGGAACUGCAUUUGUGACUGCAUAGCUAGAGUACGGUAGAGGGGGAUGGAAUUCCGCGUGUAGCAGUGAAAUGCGUAGAUAUGCGGAGGAACACCGAUGGCGAAGGCAAUCCCCCUGGACCUGUACUGACGCUCAUGCACGAAAGCGUGGGGGAGCAAACAGG